UCUCCGUUGGUGAACCAGCGGAGGGAUCAUUACAGGACUCGCAAGACUCCUUCACCCUGUGAACCUCACUACAAGCACGUUGCUUCGGCGGGUGUCCCGGCGGUGGUUUUCCCUCGCCGGGGCGCCCAGCCCGCCGGCAGCCUACUAUACCCUGUCUCUUUGCGUUGGCAUCUCGAGAAAAAACAAACAAGUUAAAACUUUCAACAACGGAUCUCUUGGUUCUG
This 224-nucleotide unclassified non-coding RNA is filed under the name plant metagenome. Its description in RNAcentral is "partial contains small subunit ribosomal RNA, internal transcribed spacer 1, and 5.8S ribosomal RNA". The record is from RNAcentral.